Molecule: ribosomal RNA, 253 nt
Filed under: uncultured bacterium
Lineage: Bacteria
Description: partial 16S ribosomal RNA
Rfam family: Bacterial small subunit ribosomal RNA
Source: RNAcentral
CACGUAGGGUCCGAGCGUUGUCCGGAAUUACUGGGCGUAAAGCGCGCGCAGGCGGUCGGGUUCGUCGCUGGUGAAAGCCCCACGCUCAACGUGGGAAGGGCCGGCGAGACAGCCCGACUGGAGGCAGGGAGAGGUCGGUGGAAUUCCGGGUGUAGUGGUGAAAUGCGUAGAGAUGGGGGAGAACACUCGUGGCGAAGGCGGCCAGCUAGACCAGUUCUGACACUGAGGCGCGACAGCGUGGGGAGCAAACAGG